Non-coding RNA from Pelobates cultripes (western spadefoot toad), 242 nucleotides. The record is from the annotation of a GenBank genome assembly. NCBI's taxonomy places the organism in Eukaryota, Metazoa, Chordata, Amphibia, Anura, Pelobatidae.
AGUGGCAGAGUGAGGGAGGGAAGGGGUGACUAGUGACAGAGUAAGGGGAUGACUGGUGACAGAGUGAGGGGGGGGGUGACUGUCACUAGUCACCCCAUCCCUCUCUCUGUCACUAGUUACUCCCUCCCUAACUCUGUCACUGUGUCACCCGCUCCCUCCCUCUGUCACUAGUCACCCCCUCCCUCACUCUGUCACUAAUCACCCCCUCCCUCCCUAGUCACCCCCUUCCUCACUCUGUCACU